Molecule: ribosomal RNA, 198 nt
Filed under: Triticum aestivum (bread wheat)
Lineage: Eukaryota; Viridiplantae; Streptophyta; Magnoliopsida; Poales; Poaceae
Description: partial small subunit ribosomal RNA
Source: RNAcentral
AUGUUCUGCAAGUUCAGCUACCGCGGCAUGGACCUAGACGCUCUCCUGGACAUGUCCAGUGAGGACCUCGUUGGGCUCUUCCCAGCCCGCGCUCGCAGAAGGUUCUCGAGGGGUCUGAAGAGGAAGCCGAUGGCGCUCGUCAAUACGCUCUGCAAGGCGGUGAUUGAUGGUUCCCUUUUUACACUUGUUUGUAGUUGA